CAAGAGUGCAUUCCUGGUCUGUCUGAUAAGCCUGACAAGGAGCUUUGUGCCAGUUGGUUUUAUUACGCAUGUUAUUCUCCUGUCAGCAGCACUCAGUGUUCACCUAGAAUCAGAAAUAUUGGCUGUGAUGCUUCAUGUGAUUCCUCUGUACCAACGAGCAGCAAUGAAACUUGCCAACAUUGUCAUGACAUUGAAAACUGUUAUCAUCAAAAUGCUAGUGCAUGUCGCAGCUGGGAUGAAGAUCGCUGCCCGUAUGGUCGAGUUACACCUGACUAUGGCCAAGGUUCACACGGUCCCAAAAUCCCCAGUCACCUUCCAUUUCCGUCAUCUAAUAAUUUUCAGCCAGUGAAACGUCAUGCUGGUAAACCUCACAUUGACCGACGCUCUUCCGUUGACCUCUUUU
Long non-coding RNA from Corticium candelabrum, 403 nucleotides. RefSeq lists it as uncharacterized. Lineage: Eukaryota; Metazoa; Porifera; Homoscleromorpha; Homosclerophorida; Plakinidae. The transcript is spliced from 3 exons. The record is from RefSeq and is a predicted model, not a curated record.